This is a long non-coding RNA of Equus caballus (horse), 1993 nucleotides long. Lineage: Eukaryota; Metazoa; Chordata; Mammalia; Perissodactyla; Equidae. The record is from Ensembl.
CUUGCACAGGGCAUCACUUUGACCCGCCAGUCCUCAGAGGUCAAGGGUCAGGCCCUAGGGGUGAGUGGCUAGAUUUUGUGCCCUGGGUUUUCUUGUUCAUUCUCUCUGAUGCCCACACCAUGUUAUGCAUGACAAGUCUUUAAUAAAUGCUGUCGAAUUAAUGGAAGAAAGGAUAAAUGAAUACAUAUGUGUGGAGUGCCCAGCAUGGAAGCCACCACUAUGAGAAGAAAGCUUUGUUGGAGUCCACCUUAGGGCGGAGAUUCUCAGCAGCAUUGAAGGAGAAGCCUCGGUCUAAAAGACCCCUUCUUGCUUUAGGGACUUACAGGAUUCCUCUGACAGGACUGGGGCAGACAGAAUGCAGAAGCAUGGCGACUCAAGUAGAGAGGCCAAGGAAUGGUCACAGGGUGUCACAGUCAGAAGGGACGUUCGUGUGGGGAGAAGACCUUUGAUCAGCAGCCCCUUCCUUCUCCUGCGGUGGCCUGAACUCGGAGGGUAUAACUGGGAUGGAGCCAGGCCACCGCCUUACGUGUGUGCACACAUGGGAGCAGCCUGGGCCUCCUCGCUGUGGAAUGGCCGGGGUGUCUGCUGUGAUGGGGCACACAUCUCCUUCUUGGUUGAGCAGUAAACAAGGACUGUUCGGUUGGGCCUGUUUCCUUGGAGCAUAUCUUCAUGAAUAUUUGCUGGUGCAGGGAAGUGAUGAAGUACCCAUAGUCCGCACUAUGAAAUCAGAAAGUCUCUGAAGGAAGAAAUUGGCACUCUGCGGCCAUAGUCCUAAGAGAGAAGACAGGAACCAUUUUCCUAUGCCUCCUGUGUGCUGGUCAGAUUAAACGGCACAGAGGGGUGAGCUGCUGAACGCUUGGUUGUAAUUUUGCAAGACUGAUGGCAAUCACUUAUCCUACACCAGCCGUGCCAGGUACUGUUAUAAGCACCUUACGUACUUUAGAUUUCCCAUUUAGGAAAAUGAGGCACAGGGAGACCAAAUCACUUUUCCAUGUUCACACAAGUCGUGAGCGGUGAGAGCCAGAUUUAGAUUUCAGUGGUCUGGCUUCUAAAUCUGUGCUCCUAGCCACUGUGCACGGUCUCCUUGGGAAGACAGCGCAGGGAGGCCCGGGGGACAUCUCCCCAAGUUCUGGCAAAGGAGAAAUGGACCGCCGGAGUUUUAUGGUCAGCCUCCUCAGAAGCACGUCCACAUACUCAAACCGUGUUAUUGGAGAACAGAAUGAAUGCUCAGCAUUUCGAAGGCUCUCAGAACUGAACAGAAGCUCAGGCUGCAGGGCCUGCAGGGGUGGGUGCCUGCAUCUGCCCUGGCCCAGGGCCUUGAGAGAGGAGAACGCCUAUGUGUGUGGCUGGACUGGAGCUGAGAGCUGGGCAAGUGUUGCAAGGCUCCAGCCCUGGGAGCUAAGAAGCAACCACAUGUUGUUAACAGAUUCAGAUGGGCUAGCGGACCCAAAGGGACACAGCAAAUGGGAUAGUAAACACAUGCCCAAGUGCCUGGAAUCAGGCGGAUUGGGGUCCUCGGCCCAGCACUCAGCAGCCACGUGGUUUGGAGCAGCUUAUAGCCCAUGGGGCUCCAUUUCCUCGUCUCUGUAAAUGUGGCUGCUAGAAAGUUUAAAAUUACACGUGUCUCGCAUUAACUGCCUUUUGGACAGCGUUGGUCUGGAACCUGGAAUAACGUCCGACACAGAGUCGCCCCUCAAGAAAUGUCAUUCCCCAGAUGCUUAGAGGCCCAAAAGGGGGAACAAGCCUUUGUCCUCACUCUGGAGAAUCUGAGAGUUUCAUGAAGAAGAGAACAGAAACACCUCAUGUUCAAGGGAACUCGGACCGAGACAAGUCAACAACUAGCCACAACCGGAUAGGGCAUAGACAAUCACAGAACCACAGACAGUGGAGGCCCCCCCGACCUGGAGUCCUCUGCUCCAUGCUCCUGUGGGGCAGCCCCUCCUCGAAGCAGAGUUCUCAGGAAAGAUGAGCUAGGACUUCCUCCAAGUCCAAG